Long non-coding RNA from Brassica napus (rape), 428 nucleotides. RefSeq lists it as uncharacterized. NCBI's taxonomy places the organism in Eukaryota, Viridiplantae, Streptophyta, Magnoliopsida, Brassicales, Brassicaceae. The transcript is spliced from 2 exons. The record is from RefSeq and is a predicted model, not a curated record.
GAGAUGAGAUUCGAGAGAGGAGACGGAGUGAUCGAGAAUGGAGGAAGAAGAGAAACUGAUUUCGCACAAAGCACGGCGAAGGAGAGAAACUGAUUUCACACUCUUUUUUUAAGCCAAUACGGAUCCGCCACAUUAGGGAACCUCUCCUGAACUCGUCGAUGGAGCUGGUCUUAUGUUGCUCAGAUUUCAAAGACUACAGAGGUUUUUUCAUCGACACUCUUAUGCAUUUUUAUAAGUUACUUAUCAAAUGAUCAUGUUCUUUGACGUCAUCGUCAUGUGUCUUACUUAAUCCCAUCAAAAGUCGUCUAAUUUUACUAGUUAAAUGAGUUUUUUCACAUAAGAAAACACUGAAGUUUGAGCUAUUUUCAUUGUCCAUGUAUAUGAAUGAUUGGACUAAAUGCUUUGGAGAAUUAAAAGAAUUUCAUACU